UGGGGAAUUUUGGACAAUGGGCGAAAGCCUGAUCCAGCAAUGCCGCGUGUGUGAAGAAGGCCUUCGGGUUGUAAAGCACUUUUGUCCGGAAAGAAAUCCUCUGGGUUAAUACCUCGGGGGGAGUGACGGUACCGGAAGAAUAAGCACCGGCUAACUACGUGCCAGCAGCCGCGGUAAUACGUAGGGUGCAAGCGUUAAUCGGAAUUACUGGGCGUAAAGCGUGCGCAGGCGGUUUUGUAAGACGGAUGUGAAAUCCCCGGGCUUAACCUGGGAACUGCAUUCGUGACUGCAAGGCUAGAGUAUGGCAGAGGGGGGUAGAAUUCCACGUGUAGCAGUGAAAUGCGUAGAGAUGUGGAGGAAUACCGAUGGCGAAGGCAGCCCCCUGGCAAGUACUGACGCUCAUGCACGAAAGCGUGGGGGAGCAAACAGGAUUAGAUACCCCUGGUAGUCCACGCCCUAAACGAUGUCAACUAGUUGUUGGGGGAUUCAUUUUCCUUAGUAACGUAGCUAACGCGUGAAGUUGACCGCCUGGGGAGUACGGUCGCAAGAUUAAAACUCAAAUGAAUUGACGGGGUCAUAGCUGUUU
This 586-nucleotide ribosomal RNA is filed under the name uncultured bacterium. RNAcentral's name for it is "partial 16S ribosomal RNA". It matches the Rfam family "Bacterial small subunit ribosomal RNA", at positions 355 to 935 of the family's 1533-position model. The record is from RNAcentral.